GAUGAACGCUAGCGGCAGGCCUAACACAUGCAAGUCGAGGGAGAGGUUAUCUUCGGGUAACCAAAACCGGCGCACGGGUGCGUAACGCGUAUACAAUCUGCCUUUCACAUAGGGAUAGCCCGAAGAAAUUUGGAUUAAUACCUAAUGGUAUAUAGGAGCGGCAUCGUUUUUAUAUUAAAGCUACGGUGGUGAAAGAUGAGUAUGCGUUCUAUUAGCUAGUUGGAGAGGUAACGGCUCCCCAAGGCGACGAUAGAUAGGGGUUCUGAGAGGGAUGUCCCCCACACUGGUACUGAGAUACGGACCAGACUCCUACGGGAGGCAGCAGUGAGGAAUAUUGGACAAUGGUCGGAAGACUGAUCCAGCCAUGCCGCGUGCAGGAUGAAGGUCCUGUGGAUUGUAAACUGCUUUUGUAAGGGAAGAAUAAGGAGUACGUGUACUUUGAUGACGGUACCUUACGGAUAAGCAUCGGCUAACUCCGUGCCAUCAGCCGCGGUAAUACGGAGGAUUCGAGCGUUAUCCGGAAUCAUUGGGUUUAAAGGGUCCGUAGGCGGGCUGAUCAGUCAGAGGUGAAUGCGCUUAGCUCAACUAAGCAACUGCUUCUGAAACUGUUAGUCUUGAAUGAUUGUUAAAUUACUUGAAUUGGUAUUGUAUCGGUUAAAUGCUUUCAUUAUCCCACAUCUCCGUCUG
Molecule: ribosomal RNA, 687 nt
Filed under: uncultured Capnocytophaga sp.
Lineage: Bacteria; Pseudomonadati; Bacteroidota; Flavobacteriia; Flavobacteriales; Flavobacteriaceae
Description: bacterial SSU rRNA
Rfam family: Bacterial small subunit ribosomal RNA
Source: RNAcentral